Molecule: transfer RNA, 69 nt
Filed under: Ictidomys tridecemlineatus (thirteen-lined ground squirrel)
Lineage: Eukaryota; Metazoa; Chordata; Mammalia; Rodentia; Sciuridae
Also listed under: 1 other name
Description: Spermophilus tridecemlineatus (thirteen-lined ground squirrel) tRNA
Rfam family: tRNA
About the family: Transfer RNA (tRNA) molecules are approximately 80 nucleotides in length.
Source: Rfam by way of RNAcentral
GGGUUUGUGGCUCAGUGGUAGAGCACUUGCCUGGCAUGUGUGAGGCACUGGGUUCGAUCUCCAGCACCA